Vicia villosa (hairy vetch) is the source of this 106-nucleotide small nucleolar RNA. The record is from RefSeq and is a predicted model, not a curated record. Lineage: Eukaryota; Viridiplantae; Streptophyta; Magnoliopsida; Fabales; Fabaceae.
AAGCCGUGACUAGGACACUUUCUCAACAUCAACUUAUACCUUUCCCAUGCUUCAUUGAGAGAUUCAUUAACACCCUGAGAGAACACUGAAAUAGUUGUUUCCGCUU